This 515-nucleotide ribosomal RNA is filed under the name uncultured bacterium. RNAcentral's name for it is "partial 16S ribosomal RNA". It matches the Rfam family "Bacterial small subunit ribosomal RNA", at positions 28 to 523 of the family's 1533-position model. The record is from RNAcentral.
GAUGAACGCUGGCGGCGUGCCUAAUACAUGCAAGUCGAGCGAAUGGAUUAAGAGCUUGCUCUUAUGAAGUUAGCGGCGGACGGGUGAGUAACACGUGGGUAACCUGCCCAUAAGACUGGGAUAACUCCGGGAAACCGGGGCUAAUACCGGAUAACAUUUUGAACCGCAUGGUUCGAAAUUGAAAGGCGGCUUCGGCUGUCACUUAUGGAUGGACCCGCGUCGCAUUAGCUAGUUGGUGAGGUAACGGCUCACCAAGGCAACGAUGCGUAGCCGACGUGGUGGGGGGAGCGGCCACACUGGGACUGAGACACGGCCCAGACUCCUACGGGAGGCAGCAGUGGGGAAUCUUCCGCAAUGGACGAAAGUCUGACGGAGCAGAGCCGCGUGAGUGAUGCAGGCUUUCGGGUCGUAAAACUCUGUUGUUAGGGAAGAACAAGUGCUAGUUGAAUAAGCUGGCACCUUGACGGUACCUAACCAGAAAGCCACGGCUAACUACGUGCCAGCCGCCGCCGUAA